CGCGUAGGCGGUUUGUUAAGUCGGAUGUGAAAGCCCGGGCUCAACCUGGGAACUGCAUUCGAUACUGGCCGACUAGAGUACGAGAGAGGGAGGUAGAAUUCCACGUGUAGCGGUGAAAUGCGUAGAUAUGUGGAGGAAUACCGGUGGCGAAGGCGGCCUCCUGGCUCGAUACUGACGCUGAGGUGCGAAAGCGUGGGGAGCAAACA
This 206-nucleotide ribosomal RNA is filed under the name uncultured bacterium. RNAcentral describes it as "partial 16S ribosomal RNA". It matches the Rfam family "Bacterial small subunit ribosomal RNA", at positions 568 to 774 of the family's 1533-position model. The record is from RNAcentral.